RNAcentral lists this ribosomal RNA (404 nucleotides) under uncultured soil bacterium. RNAcentral describes it as "bacterial SSU rRNA". It matches the Rfam family "Bacterial small subunit ribosomal RNA", at positions 26 to 447 of the family's 1533-position model. The record is from RNAcentral.
AGGACAAACGCUGGCGGCGUGCCUAAAACAUGCAAGUCGAACGAGCACUUCGGUGCGAGUGGCGGACGGCUGAGUAACACGUGGUAACCUACCUGAAGUGGGGGACAACCCGCCGAAAGGCGAGCUAAUACCGCAUACGAUCGCUGGUCUGAGGAUUGGUGAGGAAAGCUGUAAUGGCGCUUUAGGAUGGGCCUGCGGCCGAUUAGCUAGUUGGUGGGUAAAGCCUACCAAGGCGAUGAUCGGUAGCUGGUCUGAGAGGAUGAUCAGCCAGACUGGGACUGCGACACGGCCCAGACCUCGACGGGAGCAGCAGUUAGGACUCGUGGGACAAGUGGACGAAGCCUAGACCCAGCAACGCGCGUGGCGAGAGGCCGUCGGUACGUAAGCUUCGUUUCCGAGGUAAG